AGAGUUUGAGUCCUGGCGUCAGGACGAACGCUGGCGGCGUGCUUAACACAUGCAAGUCGAACGGGAAGCUUUGACAAGUUUACUUAGAUAAGCGGACAGUGGCGAACGGGUGAGUAACGCGUAGGUAACCAACCUCAUGCUGGGGGAUAGCCUUUGGAAACGAAGAGUAAUACCGCAUAAGACCACACUGUCGCAUGACAGAGAGGUAAAAGAUUUAUCGGCAUGAGACGGACCUGCGUACCAUUAGAUAGUUGGUGAGGUAACGGCCCACCAAGUCGACGAUGGUUAGCCGACCUGAGAGGGUGAUCGGCCACAUUGGGACUGAGACACGGCCCAGACUCCUACGGGAGGCAGCAGUGGGGAAUAUUGGGCAAUGGGCGCAAGCCUGACCCAGCAACGCCGCGUGAAGGAAGAAGGCUUUCGGGUUGUAAACUUCUUUUACCAGGGACGAAGGAUGUGACGGUACCUGGAGAAAAAGCCACGGCUAACUACGUGCC
This 497-nucleotide ribosomal RNA is filed under the name uncultured bacterium. RNAcentral describes it as "bacterial SSU rRNA". It matches the Rfam family "Bacterial small subunit ribosomal RNA", at positions 8 to 509 of the family's 1533-position model. The record is from RNAcentral.